UCACUUAAGCAGCGUAUAUACUAAAAUUGGGAUGAUACAGAGAAGAUCAGCAGGGCUCCUAUGGAAGGAUGACCUGCGAAUUCAUGAAGUGUUACAUAGUUUU
Nycticebus coucang (slow loris) is the source of this 103-nucleotide small nuclear RNA. The record is from RefSeq and is a predicted model, not a curated record. Lineage: Eukaryota; Metazoa; Chordata; Mammalia; Primates; Lorisidae.